CCCUGGUAGUCCACGCCGUAAACGAUGUCGACUUGGAGGUUGUUCCCUUGAGGAGUGGCUUCCGGAGCUAACGCGUUAAGUCGACCGCCUGGGGAGUACGGCCGCAAGGUUAAAACUCAAAUGAAUUGACGGGGGCCCGCACAAGCGGUGGAGCAUGUGGUUUAAUUCGAUGCAACGCGAAGAACCUUACCUACUCUUGACAUCCAGCGAAUUUAGCAGAGAUGCUUUGGUGCCUUCGGGAACGCUGAGACAGGUGCUGCAUGGCUGUCGUCAGCUCGUGUUGUGAAAUGUUGGGUUAAGUCCCGCAACGAGCGCAACCCUUAUCCUUUGUUGCCAGCGAUUCGGUCGGGAACUCAAAGGAGACUGCCGGUGAUAAACCGGAGGAAGGUGGGGAUGACGUCAAGUCAUCAUGGCCCUUACGAGUAGGGCUACACACGUGCUACAAUGGCGCAUACAAAGAGAAGCGACCUCGCGAGAGCAAGCGGACCUCACAAAGUGCGUCGUAGUCCGGAUCGGAGUCUGCAACUCGACUCCGUGAAGUCGGAAUCGCUAGUAAUCGUGGAUCAGAAUGCCACGGUGAAUACGUUCCCGGGCCUUGUACACACCG
Molecule: ribosomal RNA, 607 nt
Filed under: Pantoea agglomerans
Lineage: Bacteria; Pseudomonadati; Pseudomonadota; Gammaproteobacteria; Enterobacterales; Erwiniaceae
Description: bacterial SSU rRNA
Rfam family: Bacterial small subunit ribosomal RNA
Source: RNAcentral